This 69-nucleotide transfer RNA is filed under the name Paracarsidara gigantea. RNAcentral's name for it is "tRNA-Gln". The record is from RNAcentral. Lineage: Eukaryota; Metazoa; Arthropoda; Insecta; Hemiptera; Carsidaridae.
AUAUUUAAGUGUUUAAGCAUAUAAAUUUUUGAAAUUUAAGGGUUUAAUUUUGAAAUUAAAAAAUAUAGA